This is a long non-coding RNA of Sciurus carolinensis (gray squirrel), 1272 nucleotides long. RefSeq lists it as uncharacterized. The record is from RefSeq and is a predicted model, not a curated record. Lineage: Eukaryota; Metazoa; Chordata; Mammalia; Rodentia; Sciuridae. The transcript has 3 exons.
CCUCAGCCUGCAAUCUUUCUCUCAAGGGUGGACCCGGAGCCCCUGCGCUCCAGCUCCGCACAGUGACUGCCCUCUGGACGGCACCGCGCACAGCAGGGGGACUGCCCAGCAGAGUGGGUCAGGGUGCAGAAGCUGCCUGGACUGUGGCUGGAGAAGCAACAGCGUAGGCCAUAACAGGGCGAGGAGGCGCCUCGGCCCAGCCUCCCCAGGACCGUGUGACAACGGGCGGCUCUCCCUCUGUGACCCCUCGCCUGCCUCACACUUCUGCUGAGAGCUGUUUUCCUGUAGGCACAGAGAUGGUGGCCACCCUGAAGGCACAGGCUGUUCCCGCUGAAGCUCCUUCAGCCAGCGAGGGGCCGGUGGUUUUCAUUAGCCUCAACAAACACAGCAAGUCACAGUCCCUUCCAGCAGGAUUGCAGGACAGGAAGGCCCAGAACCGGGAGGAAAUGAGAUCUGCGAGCAGCGAGGACUCUGCAGACACGCUGGCACGAACCUUCCAGAAGGACCCUGUGCAACGAGAAUUAUUCCACGUUCCGACGAGAGGAAGCUGGACUCAGGGACUUCAGGGGAUUGAGAUACCAAGACAGGUGUGCGUGACAAUGCACAUCAUGUGGGCUGAGGGAGUCGAAGACGUGAGGCCGUGCUUCCAGCCCAUGUAGACGGAGAGCAUUCCGAAUGUGCUGUGGACAGAGAGGAGAGCAUCCUGGUGUGCAAGCAGCCACUGUGAGCCCUUGGGAACGCGAGCAUUGGGAGGGAUCCAGUUCCUCAUCUCCUGUCCCUCACCUGUUCUUGGGUGAAGGCGGUAACACAGAACAGCGGAGGAAUCGUGAGGACGCAGGUGCACUAAACGCUUCUCCAGGACAAGCGUGGCUGCCGCUCUGGCUCGGUGUGCCCUGUGAGUGUGUGUGCUGUGCACCUGAGGUCCUGACUCUCCCGGACCUCGGCCAGGGUGCCAGGCUUCCACCUCAUCGCUGCUUGGCGGGCUUUGCUUUUACAAAUCAUAGAACACCACCAGGGUUUUGCCCUCUCUUGCCGGCAACACAGUGGAGAGAACUCAGGGACAGGUUUUCAAGUGCCUCCUUUGUCUGCUUCUCUCUCAUCACCUCCUCUGACUGUCCUUGGGCUUUCCCCUGCUGUGCUUUACCAAUUUCUUCCCUUGUAGAAACAAUGGCCGCACUUUUAGAAGCUCUUUUCAGAAGCUCUGAAGUUGUUUUCUUAGGCUAACUUGUCAAUGGCAUUUAAAACUGGUUAUGUUUUAAUAAAAUAAUCUUG